UGGGGAAUAUUGCACAAUGGGGGAAACCCUGAUGCAGCGACGCCGCGUGAGCGAAGAAGGCUUUCGAGUCGUAAAGCUCUGUCCUAUGAGAAGAUAAUGACGGUAUCAUAGGAGGAAGCCCUGGCUAAAUACGUGCCAGCAGCCGCGGUAAUACGUAUGGGGCGAGCGUUGUCCGGAAUUAUUGGGCGUAAAGGGUACGUAGGCGGUUUUUUAAGUCAGGUGUCAAAGCGUGGAGCUUAACUCCAUUAAGCACUUGAAACUGAAAGACUUGAGUGAAGGAGAGGAAAGUGGAAUUCCUAGUGGAGCGGUUGAAUGCGUAGAUAUUAAGAGGAAUACCGGUUGCGAAGGCGACUUUCUGGACUUUUACUGACGCUCAGGUACGAAAGCGUGGGGAGCAAACAGG
Molecule: ribosomal RNA, 403 nt
Filed under: Verrucomicrobiota bacterium
Lineage: Bacteria; Pseudomonadati; Verrucomicrobiota
Description: Verrucomicrobia bacterium partial 16S ribosomal RNA
Rfam family: Bacterial small subunit ribosomal RNA
Source: RNAcentral